Molecule: transfer RNA, 85 nt
Filed under: Bacteroidota Order II. bacterium
Lineage: Bacteria; Pseudomonadati; Bacteroidota; unclassified Bacteroidota Order II.
Description: tRNA-Leu
Rfam family: tRNA
About the family: Transfer RNA (tRNA) molecules are approximately 80 nucleotides in length. Their secondary structure includes four short double-helical elements and three loops (D, anti-codon, and T loops).
Source: RNAcentral
GCCGAAGUGGCGGAAUGGUAGACGCAACGGACUUAAAAUCCGUCGGUAAGCGAUUGCCGUGGGGGUUCGAGUCCCCCCUUCGGCA